AGUGAACGCUGGCGGUAGGCCUAACACAUGCAAGUCGAACGGCAGCACAGUAAGAGCUUGCUCUUACGGGUGGCGAGUGGCGGACGGGUGAGGAAUACAUCGGAAUCUACUUUUUCGUGGGGGAUAACGUAGGGAAACUUACGCUAAUACCGCAUACGACCUACGGGUGAAAGCAGGGGAUCUUCGGACCUUGCGCGAUUGAAUGAGCCGAUGUCGGAUUAGCUAGUUGGCGGGGUAAAGGCCCACCAAGGCGACGAUCCGUAGCUGGUCUGAGAGGAUGAUCACCCACACUGGAACUGAGACACGGUCCAGACCCCUACGGGAGGCAGCAGUGGGGAAUAUUGGACAAUGGGCGCAAGCCUGAUCCAGCCAUACCGCGUGGGUGAAGAAGGCCUUCGGGUUGUAAAGCCCUUUUGUUGGGAAAGAAAAGCAGCAGGUUAAUACCCCGCUGUUCUGACGGUACCCAAAGAAUAAGCACCGGCUAACUUCGUG
Molecule: ribosomal RNA, 492 nt
Filed under: uncultured bacterium
Lineage: Bacteria
Description: partial 16S ribosomal RNA
Rfam family: Bacterial small subunit ribosomal RNA
Source: RNAcentral